Talpa occidentalis (Iberian mole) is the source of this 1615-nucleotide long non-coding RNA. RefSeq lists it as uncharacterized. Lineage: Eukaryota; Metazoa; Chordata; Mammalia; Eulipotyphla; Talpidae. The record is from RefSeq and is a predicted model, not a curated record. The transcript has 4 exons.
AGGGUUGACCAAGUGACACUUGAAAAUUCAUUAACCUCUGGGUUGCCAUUUCAGAAAAAAUCUUCCUCAGCAUCCCUUACACACAUAAAUUGGAGAGGACUUUUGGCAGAUAGGAUAGGAGUCAUAUAAAAAUUUGUUUGGGGUCAAUCCUCUAAUCCACAUUCAUGAGCCCAAGGCAUCUAGAGAGAUAUCAGACACCCUUUGAGAUGGCAACUCUCAAGCAGUUUGCAACCUAGCUGGGGAGUUAAAGAAACAGUAGAACACACAGAAAAAUUGGGAAUAACUGCCUGCUGCAGAACACAGCAAAAAUGCUGUGCCAGUUUAGCAUCAGAGAGCCCUUCAAGGGGGGCAAUCAUCAGGCAUCAGGCAGGUUUCUUGGACUGAAGGACAUCCUUGUUCUGGACCACUCGCGAGGAGGGUAAAGACAGCCGUGGGACAGAGCAUCAUCAGCUUCAGUGAAGAUUAAGAAUCACUGUUUUUGAUUAAGAACUUGCUUCUAGAGAUUUCUGUGAAGAUUGGACAUUUUCCUUGGAUUGGACAUUGGAUGUGGCAUGUAAGAUUUUUAGCAUGUGAAUAAAAGAUAAUUCUGGAAGCACUGAAGAAGACAGUCUGGAAGGUGGGAAGACCAGUACAGCUGAUCACUCUCAACUUUGGAGAGUAUCUGGAAUCUACAGACCAGUCACUAUGUCGCUGGAACUGCGCGAGGGGCUCUCCAUUCAUAGUCCCAUCCUCAGAACAACUCUUAAAGAGAAAAACAACGAGGCUUCAUUUUUCAGAAUAGGGAGACUUUGGCACAGAAAAGUGAAGCAACUUGUCCGAAUUUCCCAGUCAUUAGUCAUAGAGCCAGAGCUCUCACCAGGUGCGGGUCUGGCUGGGGAAACCAGCAAUCUUUGCCCUGCCCCCACCCCAUGCUGUCUCCUCUUCCAGCAGCAAGCUUCCAGAUCUCCCAUUCUGGAGGGGAGUCAAGUCUCCUUAUCAGCAACUGAAAGGGAUUUGAAGAUUUGCAUCUGCAAGUGGGCUGCUUACCCCUUGAAAAGAUAAUCAAUUUCUCUAAGUGGAUACGUUUUAUUGGAAGGCUCCCUGGCAAAAGCACUGGAAACGCUAGGAGAACUGGGGUCUUUUUGUGCUCAGGUCACAGUCUAUGGGGUAAGUGUGGUGCAAUAAGACAGGCAAGAUUGCACUGACAUCGCCCUAGAGAACCUCUGGGAAGGUUCCUGCAUCUGUCACGGGGUAGAAGACCAGUGGCAGAGGGUUCAGAACUCCAAGCAAGCAGGCUCCACACUGACUUUUAGGCUUUAACACAAAAGUGAAUGCGCUCAAAUGAUUAUCUGACUCCUCAGAUUAAACCAGGAAAGAAAAGUGAUCCGGUGGCAAAGAACCAAACCAGAACACCCAGAUCAGACAGGGAACAAACACCUGAAGUGACAACUCCAAAUUCACGGUUCUAUGAGCCACUAGCACGUUGCUGGAUGAUUAGGGGUUUUGUUUGUGUUUCUUUUUCUUUGUCUGCCUUUUCUUUUUUUAAAAAAAAAAAAACCUGUUUUUUAUGGCAAUACUACAAAGCAAAAGAAUCUUUAAAUACCACCCCUCCCCCCAUCAGCCACACUAAUGAAAG